GCCUUUUUAAUAUAAAAAGUAUAGUUGGCUUCCAACCAACCAGUCUAAAAUAUUUAGAAAAGGCA
RNAcentral lists this transfer RNA (65 nucleotides) under Remiarctus bertholdii. Its description in RNAcentral is "tRNA-Gly". The record is from RNAcentral. Lineage: Eukaryota; Metazoa; Arthropoda; Malacostraca; Decapoda; Scyllaridae.